Molecule: ribosomal RNA, 834 nt
Filed under: Panellus ringens
Lineage: Eukaryota; Fungi; Basidiomycota; Agaricomycetes; Agaricales; Mycenaceae
Description: LSU rRNA
Rfam family: Eukaryotic large subunit ribosomal RNA
Source: RNAcentral
GAGGAAAAGAAACUAACAAGGAUUCCCCUAGUAACUGCGAGUGAAGAGGGAAAAGCUCAAAUUUAAAAUCUGGCGGUUCUUGCAGCCGUCCGAGUUGUAAUUUAGAGAAGUGUUAUCCGCGCUGGACCGUGUACAAGUCUCCUGGAAUGGAGCGUCAUAGAGGGUGAGAAUCCCGUCUUUGACACGGACUGCCAGGGCUUUGUGAUGCGCUCUCGAAGAGUCGAGUUGUUUGGGAAUGCAGCUCAAAAUGGGUGGUAAAUUCCAUCUAAAGCUAAAUAUUGGCGAGAGACCGAUAGCGAACAAGUACCGUGAGGGAAAGAUGAAAAGAACUUUGGAAAGAGAGUUAAACAGUACGUGAAAUUGUUGAAAGGGAAACGCUUGAAGUCAGUCGCGUUGGCUGGGGAUCAACCUUGCUCUUUUGCUUGGCGUACUUCCCAGUUGAUGGGUCAGCAUCAGUUUUGACCGCUGGAUAAAGGUUGAGGGAAUGUGGCAUCUUCGGAUGUGUUAUAGCCCUCAGCUGUAUACAGCGGUUGGGACUGAGGAACUCAGCACGCCGCAAGGCCGGGUCUUUGACCACGUACGUGCUUAGGAUGCUGGCAUAAUGGCUUUAAUCGACCCGUCUUGAAACACGGACCAAGGAGUCUAACAUGCCUGCGAGUGUUUGGGUGGAAAACCCGAGCGCGUAAUGAAAGUGAAAGUUGAGAUCUCUGUCGUGGAGAGCAUUGACGCCCAGACCAGACCUUUUGUGACGGACCUGCGGUAGAGCAUGUAUGUUGGGACCCGAAAGAUGGUGAACUAUGCCUGAAUAGGGUGAAGCCAGAGGAAACUCUGGUG